AGCGAACGCUGGCGGCAGGCUUAACACAUGCAAGUCGAGCGGGCCCUUCGGGGUCAGCGGCGGACGGGUGAGUAACGCGUGGGAACGUGCCUUCUGGUUCGGAAUAACUCAGGGAAACUUGAGCUAAUACCGGAUACGCCCUUUUGGGGAAAGGUUUACUGCCGGAAGAUCGGCCCGCGUCUGAUUAGCUAGUUGGUGGGGUAACGGCCUACCAAGGCGACGAUCAGUAGCUGGUCCGAGAGGAUGAUCAGCCACACUGGGACUGAGACACGGCCCAGACUCCUACGGGAGGCAGCAGUGGGGAAUAUUGGACAAUGGGCGCAAGCCUGAUCCAGCCAUGCCGCGUGAGUGAUGAAGGCCUUAGGGUUGUAAAGCUCUUUUAUCCGGGACGAUAAUGACGGUACCGGAGGAAUAAGCCCCGGCUAACUUCGUG
This 433-nucleotide ribosomal RNA is filed under the name uncultured bacterium. RNAcentral's name for it is "partial 16S ribosomal RNA". It matches the Rfam family "Bacterial small subunit ribosomal RNA", at positions 29 to 507 of the family's 1533-position model. The record is from RNAcentral.